Molecule: non-coding RNA, 26 nt
Filed under: Homo sapiens (human)
Lineage: Eukaryota; Metazoa; Chordata; Mammalia; Primates; Hominidae
Source: RNAcentral
UGGAUGUGUGAUGUUCUUUAAGCGGC